RNAcentral lists this ribosomal RNA (2893 nucleotides) under Escherichia coli. Its description in RNAcentral is "bacterial LSU rRNA". It matches the Rfam family "Bacterial large subunit ribosomal RNA". Lineage: Bacteria; Pseudomonadati; Pseudomonadota; Gammaproteobacteria; Enterobacterales; Enterobacteriaceae. The record is from RNAcentral.
ACUAAGCGUACACGGUGGAUGCCCUGGCAGUCAGAGGCGAUGAAGGACGUGCUAAUCUGCGAUAAGCGUCGGUAAGGUGAUAUGAACCGUUAUAACCGGCGAUUUCCGAAUGGGGAAACCCAGUGUGUUUCGACACACUAUCAUUAACUGAAUCCAUAGGUUAAUGAGGCGAACCGGGGGAACUGAAACAUCUAAGUACCCCGAGGAAAAGAAAUCAACCGAGAUUCCCCCAGUAGCGGCGAGCGAACGGGGAGCAGCCCAGAGCCUGAAUCAGUGUGUGUGUUAGUGGAAGCGUCUGGAAAGGCGCGCGAUACAGGGUGACAGCCCCGUACACAAAAAUGCACAUAUUGUGAGCUCGAUGAGUAGGGCGGGACACGUGGUAUCCUGUCUGAAUAUGGGGGGACCAUCCUCCAAGGCUAAAUACUCCUGACUGACCGAUAGUGAACCAGUACCGUGAGGGAAAGGCGAAAAGAACCCCGGCGAGGGGAGUGAAAAAGAACCUGAAACCGUGUACGUACAAGCAGUGGGAGCACGCUUAGGCGUGUGACUGCGUACCUUUUGUAUAAUGGGUCAGCGACUUAUAUUCUGUAGCAAGGUUAACCGAAUAGGGGAGCCGAAGGGAAACCGAGUCUUAACUGGGCGUUAAGUUGCAGGGUAUAGACCCGAAACCCGGUGAUCUAGCCAUGGGCAGGUUGAAGGUUGGGUAACACUAACUGGAGGACCGAACCGACUAAUGUUGAAAAAUUAGCGGAUGACUUGUGGCUGGGGGUGAAAGGCCAAUCAAACCGGGAGAUAGCUGGUUCUCCCCGAAAGCUAUUUAGGUAGCGCCUCGUGAAUUCAUCUCCGGGGGUAGAGCACUGUUUCGGCAAGGGGGUCAUCCCGACUUACCAACCCGAUGCAAACUGCGAAUACCGGAGAAUGUUAUCACGGGAGACACACGGCGGGUGCUAACGUCCGUCGUGAAGAGGGAAACAACCCAGACCGCCAGCUAAGGUCCCAAAGUCAUGGUUAAGUGGGAAACGAUGUGGGAAGGCCCAGACAGCCAGGAUGUUGGCUUAGAAGCAGCCAUCAUUUAAAGAAAGCGUAAUAGCUCACUGGUCGAGUCGGCCUGCGCGGAAGAUGUAACGGGGCUAAACCAUGCACCGAAGCUGCGGCAGCGACGCUUAUGCGUUGUUGGGUAGGGGAGCGUUCUGUAAGCCUGCGAAGGUGUGCUGUGAGGCAUGCUGGAGGUAUCAGAAGUGCGAAUGCUGACAUAAGUAACGAUAAAGCGGGUGAAAAGCCCGCUCGCCGGAAGACCAAGGGUUCCUGUCCAACGUUAAUCGGGGCAGGGUGAGUCGACCCCUAAGGCGAGGCCGAAAGGCGUAGUCGAUGGGAAACAGGUUAAUAUUCCUGUACUUGGUGUUACUGCGAAGGGGGGACGGAGAAGGCUAUGUUGGCCGGGCGACGGUUGUCCCGGUUUAAGCGUGUAGGCUGGUUUUCCAGGCAAAUCCGGAAAAUCAAGGCUGAGGCGUGAUGACGAGGCACUACGGUGCUGAAGCAACAAAUGCCCUGCUUCCAGGAAAAGCCUCUAAGCAUCAGGUAACAUCAAAUCGUACCCCAAACCGACACAGGUGGUCAGGUAGAGAAUACCAAGGCGCUUGAGAGAACUCGGGUGAAGGAACUAGGCAAAAUGGUGCCGUAACUUCGGGAGAAGGCACGCUGAUAUGUAGGUGAAGUCCCUCGCGGAUGGAGCUGAAAUCAGUCGAAGAUACCAGCUGGCUGCAACUGUUUAUUAAAAACACAGCACUGUGCAAACACGAAAGUGGACGUAUACGGUGUGACGCCUGCCCGGUGCCGGAAGGUUAAUUGAUGGGGUCAGCGCAAGCGAAGCUCUUGAUCGAAGCCCCGGUAAACGGCGGCCGUAACUAUAACGGUCCUAAGGUAGCGAAAUUCCUUGUCGGGUAAGUUCCGACCUGCACGAAUGGCGUAAUGAUGGCUAGGCUGUCUCCACCCGAGACUCAGUGAAAUUGAACUCGCUGUGAAGAUGCAGUGUACCCGCGGCAAGACGGAAAGACCCCGUGAACCUUUACUAUAGCUUGACACUGAACAUUGAGCCUUGAUGUGUAGGAUAGGUGGGAGGCUUUGAAGUGUGGACGCCAGUCUGCAUGGAGCCGACCUUGAAAUACCACCCUUUAAUGUUUGAUGUUCUAACGUUGACCCGUAAUCCGGGUUGCGGACAGUGUCUGGUGGGUAGUUUGACUGGGGCGGUCUCCUCCUAAAGAGUAACGGAGGAGCACGAAGGUUGGCUAAUCCUGGUCGGACAUCAGGAGGUUAGUGCAAUGGCAUAAGCCAGCUUGACUGCGAGCGUGACGGCGCGAGCAGGUGCGAAAGCAGGUCAUAGUGAUCCGGUGGUUCUGAAUGGAAGGGCCAUCGCUCAACGGAUAAAAGGUACUCCGGGGAUAACAGGCUGAUACCGCCCAAGAGUUCAUAUCGACGGCGGUGUUUGGCACCUCGAUGUCGGCUCAUCACAUCCUGGGGCUGAAGUAGGUCCCAAGGGUAUGGCUGUUCGCCAUUUAAAGUGGUACGCGAGCUGGGUUUAGAACGUCGUGAGACAGUUCGGUCCCUAUCUGCCGUGGGCGCUGGAGAACUGAGGGGGGCUGCUCCUAGUACGAGAGGACCGGAGUGGACGCAUCACUGGUGUUCGGGUUGUCAUGCCAAUGGCACUGCCCGGUAGCUAAAUGCGGAAGAGAUAAGUGCUGAAAGCAUCUAAGCACGAAACUUGCCCCGAGAUGAGUUCUCCCUGACUCCUUGAGAGUCCUGAAGGAACGUUGAAGACGACGACGUUGAUAGGCCGGGUGUGUAAGCGCAGCGAUGCGUUGAGCUAACCGGUACUAAUGAACCGUGAGGCUUAACC